RNAcentral lists this ribosomal RNA (450 nucleotides) under uncultured bacterium. RNAcentral's name for it is "bacterial SSU rRNA". It matches the Rfam family "Bacterial small subunit ribosomal RNA", at positions 354 to 796 of the family's 1533-position model. The record is from RNAcentral.
GUGGGGAAUAUUGGACAAUGGGCGAAAGCCUGAUCCAGCCAUGCCGCGUGUGUGAAGAAGGUCUUCGGAUUGUAAAGCACUUUAAGUUGGGAGGAAGGGCAGUAAGUUAAUACCUUGCUGUUUUGACGUUACCGACAGAAUAAGCACCGGCUAACUUCGUGCCAGCAGCCGCGGUAAUACGAAGGGUGCAAGCGUUAAUCGGAAUUACUGGACGUAAAGCGCGCGUAGGUGGUUUUGUAAGUUGGAGGUGAAAUCCCCGGGCUCAACCUGGGAACUGCCUCCAAAACUGCAUGACUAGAGUACGGUAGAGGGUAGUGGAAUUUCCUGUGUAGCGGUGAAAUGCGUAGAUAUAGGAAGGAACACCAGUGGCGAAGGCGACUACCUGGACUGAUACUGACACUGAGGUGCGAAAGCGUGGGGAGCAAACAGGAUUAGAUACCCGGGUAGUCC